GACAGAGGGUGCAAACGUUAUUCGGAAUUACUGGGCUUAAAGAGUGCGUAGGCGGCCUUGUAAGUAGGGUGUGAAAUCCCACAGCUCAACUGUGGAACUGCGCUCUAAACUACAUGGCUAGAGGGAUAUAGAGGUGAGCGGAACUGAUGGUGGAGCGGUGAAAUGCGUUGAUAUCAUCAGGAACACCGGAGGCGAAGGCGGCUCACUGGGUAUCUUCUGACGCUGAGGUACGAAAGCUAGGGGAGCGAACGGG
Molecule: ribosomal RNA, 253 nt
Filed under: uncultured bacterium
Lineage: Bacteria
Description: partial 16S ribosomal RNA
Rfam family: Bacterial small subunit ribosomal RNA
Source: RNAcentral